GCCUACGGGAGGCAGCAGUGAGGAAUAUUGGUCAAUGGUCGGGAGACUGAACCAGCCAAGCCGCGUGAGGGAGGAAGGUACAGAGUAUCGUAAACCUCUUUUGUCAGGGAACAAAGGCGGGGACGUGUCCCCGGAUGAGUGUACCUGAAGAAAAAGCAUCGGCUAACUCCGUGCCAGCAGCCGCGGUAAUACGGAGGAUGCGAGCGUUAUCCGGAUUUAUUGGGUUUAAAGGGUGCGCAGGCGGUCUGUUAAGUCAGCGGUCAAAGCCCGGGGCUCCACCCCGGCCCGCCGUUGAAACUGGCAGG
This 305-nucleotide ribosomal RNA is filed under the name uncultured bacterium. RNAcentral describes it as "bacterial SSU rRNA". It matches the Rfam family "Bacterial small subunit ribosomal RNA", at positions 337 to 640 of the family's 1533-position model. The record is from RNAcentral.